GACGAACCGUCCGAACGUUAUUCGGAAUUACUGGGCUUAAAGGGUGCGUAGGCGGCCUUACAAGUCAGGUGUGAAAUCCCACGGCUCAACCGUGGAACUGCGCCUGAAACUGUAGGGCUUGAGGGAGAUAGGGGUGAGCGGAACUGAUGGUGGAGCGGUGAAAUGCGUUGAUAUCAUCAGGAACACCGGCGGCGAAGGCGGCUCACUGGGUCUCUACUGACGCUGAGGCACGAAAGCUAGGGGAGCGAAC
Molecule: ribosomal RNA, 250 nt
Filed under: uncultured bacterium
Lineage: Bacteria
Description: partial 16S ribosomal RNA
Rfam family: Bacterial small subunit ribosomal RNA
Source: RNAcentral